UAGUAGGUGUUCAAGUUAGGG
Caenorhabditis elegans is the source of this 21-nucleotide non-coding RNA. Lineage: Eukaryota; Metazoa; Nematoda; Chromadorea; Rhabditida; Rhabditidae. The record is from Ensembl.